This 296-nucleotide signal recognition particle RNA is filed under the name Neogobius melanostomus (round goby). Its description in RNAcentral is "Metazoan signal recognition particle RNA (ENSNMLG00000001176.1)". It matches the Rfam family "Metazoan signal recognition particle RNA". Rfam says of the family: The signal recognition particle (SRP) is a universally conserved ribonucleoprotein. It is involved in the co-translational targeting of proteins to membranes. The record is from Rfam by way of RNAcentral. Lineage: Eukaryota; Metazoa; Chordata; Actinopteri; Gobiiformes; Gobiidae.
GCCGGGUGCGGUGGCGCGUGCCUGUAAUCCAAGUUACUUGGAGGCUGAGACUGGUGGAUCGUUUGAGCUCAGGAUCUCUGAGCUGCAGUGGACUAUGUCGAUCGGGUGUCCCAAUAAGUUCGGUAUCGAUAUGGUGCUCCUGGGGGAGGCCGGGACCACCAGGUCGUCUAAGGAGGGGUGCACCGGCCCAGGUCGGAAACGGAGCAGGCCAAAGCCCCGUGCCGUCAGUAGUGGGAUCGCGCCUGUGAAUAGAGGCUGUAGUGAAGCCUGAGUAAUACAGCGGGACCCAGUCUUUU